This 251-nucleotide ribosomal RNA is filed under the name uncultured Prevotella sp. RNAcentral describes it as "partial 16S ribosomal RNA". It matches the Rfam family "Bacterial small subunit ribosomal RNA", at positions 86 to 339 of the family's 1533-position model. The record is from RNAcentral. Lineage: Bacteria; Pseudomonadati; Bacteroidota; Bacteroidia; Bacteroidales; Prevotellaceae.
GGACGUCGACCGGCGCACGGGUGAGUAACGCGUAUCCAACCUGCCCUUGUCCAUCGGAUAACCCGUCGAAAGGCGGACUAACACGAUAUGCAGUUCUCAGCAGGCAUCUAACGAGAACGAAAUGUGAAGGAGAAGGAUGGGGAUGCGUCUGAUUAGCUUGUUGGCGGGGUGACGGCCCACCAAGGCGACGAUCAGUAGGGGUUCUGAGAGGAAGGUCCCCCACAUUGGAACUGAGACACGGUCCAAACUCC